AUGAAACAAUUUCGCAACGGCAAAAUAUUCUCAAUUGUAGAUAGAAUUUUGAUGAAAAAAACCAGUAGAUGGCAUAGCACCAUACCUACUCCUACUACGUCUCCCAUUCUCAUCUCGAAAUGCAUGGUUUUCCCGACCCAGAAGUCCAAUAUCAAAAGUCUGAAGCUCUCCGUUUCAGACAUAUCAUUAUUGGCGCGUGAAUACAGCCAAAAAGGAAUUCUGUUACCUAAUCCCCCUGGUCUCUCAUUCGAUCGUCUCCUCACCUCUCUCAAAAACGCUCUUGCCACUACUCUUGACCACUUAUACCCCCUGGCCGGCCGUCUCGCAACAACCCCCGAUGGUCGAAUGUGCAUCGCUUGCAACGAUGCAGGGGUUGAAUUCCUGGCGAUGGACAACACGAGUCUCUCAGUGGACAACAUUUUGUGUCCGGGCGAUGUCCCAGACUGCGUCAAAGACUUCUUUAGCUACGAUAAAUUCGUCAACUACGAGGGAUAUUCCAAGCCCUUAGCUGCGGUUCAGGUAACAAAGCUAGCCGACGGUGUUUUCAUCGCUUUCUGCACGAAUCACUCAGUGGCGGACGGCCUGUCGCAUUGGGGCUUCAUCAACACAUUCGCCGAGAUCAGCAGGGGGGCCCCGAUCUCCAACUCACCCGUCUUCUCCCGCGACACGCCCCUCGACCCCCGGGUCGUGCUCCCGUUCCCGCCGGGCGGACCAACCGGCAAGCACCCUUUCGGAGGCGACGCGCCGUUGAGGGAGCGGGUCUUCCAUUUCAGCAGGGACGCCAUCUUGAAACUCAAACAGAGUGCCAAAGAGGGAUAUUCCAUGAAAACGAAGGGUGGAGAGGACCGUGGUGAAAUUUCGUCCUUCCAAUCGCUCUGCGCCCUGAUGUGGCGGUCCAUCACGCGAGCUAGGCAGCAGACGGCGCUCUUCCGGAUGCUAGUGGAUUGCCGCAACAGGUUGGAACCGAGACUGGACCGGCGCUACUUCGGCAACGCGAUCAUGGGCACGGAGAUUUCCGCCUCCGCGGACGAUCUCCUCGGCAACGACCUGAGUUGGGGCGCCGGGUUGAUCCACGAAAAUGUGGCGACGUGGGACGAUUCUAAGGUGCGACGGCGGGUGGCGGAGUGGGAACGAGAGCCCAGGAUGAUCCCGUUCGACGUCGCCGAGGGGCCGACGAUCUACGUGGGGAGCUCGCCGAGGUUCCCGGUCUACGAGGCGGAUUUCGGGUGGGGGCGCCCUCUGGCAGUGAGGAGCGGGCGCAACAACAAGUUCGACGGCAAGAUCUCCGCGUUUCCGGCCAAGGAGGGCGAUGGAGGAGUCGAAUUGGAGGUGGCACUGGCGCCAGAGACGAUGACGAGGCUCGAGGCUGACUUGGAGCUCAUGCAGUACGCGUCACACAGUGGAUCCCGUCGAUAAUGAAGGUCCGACAAAAUUUGGAAACUUCAAACGCUUAUAACUCCGUUUAAAAAAAAAAAAAAAAUUCGAGGUUCUAAAAGUGGUUCCAUUGGUUUUAUCGUGAAAUUUUCUUCAAAAAGAGCCUUCUAAAAUUGAAAUUAUGACGAAUUAAACAUCAAAAUUUGCAGCUGUGGUCAACAAUUUUGAAGUCAAUAACUCAGUUUUAAAAAAAAAAAAUUCGAGGUUCUAAAAGUGGUUCCAUUGGUUUUAUCGUGAAAUUUUCUUCAAAAAGAUCCUUCUAAAAUUGAAAUUAUGACGAAUUAAACAUCAAAAUUUGCAGCUGUAGUCAAGAUUUUAUGUCCAACAUCUGUCUCUGAUGACUUGAUCCACUGUGCUGAACUCAAGGAGAAAUAGCUCAAAUUUCUACUGAUCCUACAGCCUUGUCUCCACGGACGUUUCAUGGGAUUUGCCACAACUUCGAAUCGCAGGAAUGAUACUUCCGGGCUUUUUUCCCCUUUUAACAAAACGACAAAAUUUCCUCUCCUGCCCUCUGAGUCGCUCUAAGGACUCGACAAGUAGUCAACUAGGUACUGUAAUCAAGGUAGGAUGAAGGAAACGAAAGAUGGAAAGAUUUGAAAGUUCACGAGACUGUGAAAUAUUGCAUAUUUUACGGGGGCUAGGGUAUGCAACCUGCACUCGAACACACAAAAAUGGAAGUCACUAUUUUGACAUUUUCCGAAACAUGAAGAUGAACUGGCAUUUUUCAAUAUCUUUCAUUAAUUUCUGAAAUUUCAUGAAAAAUUUCACGUGAAAUUCUGACGGUAAGUACUGUGAAUAGUAUUGACUAACUCCAUACUUUUCCUAACUUUGCUCGUGAGAUUUUUCCAUAGGGCCCCAAUAAAUCCCCAUAAAUCCCAUGAAAUGUCACACGGAGACAAGGUCUACUGGGCUACUAUCAUGCCUUAUUUAAGUACUCUGCCGCGCUCAAGAAAAACACACCAAUGAGCAUUUGAGAGUUACAAAAUUUCCUGUCAUAAAAAAUUUAUCCUGGAUGUAAGUUAUAAAGAUAUUCCCUUGAAAUUUUUGAUAUUUUAGAUUAAAUUGAGAAUAAAACUUUCUGAAAAAUUGGAGUUAGUAUUCCUAAUUUACCCAUAGAAUUUGUACUUCAUCAAACGAUAUUUGGCAAUGCCUGAAGGUCAAUAAGGCGUUUUCCUGCGUACGUCAGUAUUGUUGUCAACACUCAUAUUGAGAAUGAUC
This 2652-nucleotide long non-coding RNA is filed under the name Bemisia tabaci. Its description in RNAcentral is "lncRNA ENSASIAIIG010333". The record is from RNAcentral. Lineage: Eukaryota; Metazoa; Arthropoda; Insecta; Hemiptera; Aleyrodidae.